Molecule: ribosomal RNA, 254 nt
Filed under: uncultured bacterium
Lineage: Bacteria
Description: partial 16S ribosomal RNA
Rfam family: Bacterial small subunit ribosomal RNA
Source: RNAcentral
UACGUAGGGUGCAAGCGUUAAUCGGAAUUACUGGGCGUAAAGCGUGCGCAGGCGGUGAUGUAAGACAGGUGUGAAAUCCCCGGGCUUAACCUGGGAACUGCAUUUGUGACUGCAUCGCUGGAGUGCGGCAGAGGGGGAUGGAAUUCCGCGUGUAGCAGUGAAAUGCGUAGAGAUGCGGAGGAACACCGAUGGCGAAGGCAGCCCCCUGGGGCUAACACUGACGCUCAGGCACGAAAGCGUGGGGAGCAAACAGG